GCCCAAAAGAAAAAAUGAUCUCCCUUUUGGAGUUUCAGCCGUGACUUCAAGAGGAAGCUUUAGCCGUGACAAGGCAAGAACUCCACUACACUCACUCUCUUGAUUCAAGCUGCACCUAUUCAACCAAAUACGGAGCCAAACUCCACCUUUCAAGAGGAUGCUUCGAAACGACGACAUCCGCGUCGUCUCCUCUGCCAUCAAAAUCCCUCUUCCUUCCAAGCGCCCAACCUGUCCUCUGCGAACGGCGCAUUCCCACAUCGCCAACGCCACAAACUCGUUUGCGCAAUUCGUUAAUUCGUUCGCGUCUCACUCCACCGAGUUUACUCGCUCCAUCCUCCAAAAAUCGUCGCUCCUCUGCUCCACGACUCUGUCCUUGACCGGCGACAGGAAGAGAGCAUGUCCGAUUCGGCGUCUUGCUUCGCUGUCUCUGGCGGAGGAGGCGCAGCAGAAGGCUCGACAGAACGAGGAGAGAGUGUUGAUCAGUGAAGUGCUGGUUCGAAACAAAGACGGGGAGGAAAUGGAGAGGAAGGACCUCGAGGCGGAGGCGGUGCAGGCUCUGAAGGCUUGUCGACCUAACUCGGCUCUCACAGUGCGCGAGGUACAAGAGGAUGUGCAUCGCAUCAUCAACAGUGGAUAUUUUUCGUCAUGCAUGCCGGUUGCGGUUGACACGAGAGAUGGUAUCCGAUUAGUAUUUCAGGUAGAACCAAAUCAAGAAUUCCAAGGGCUGGUAUGUGAAGGAGCCAAUGUUCUUCCGGCUAAAUUUCUAGAGGACUCAAUGCGAAAUGGAUAUGGGAAGAUUAUUAAUUUGAGACGACUGGAUGAAGCAAUAUCUUCCAUUAAUAACUGGUACAUGGAGCGUGGUCUUUUUGCCAUGGUUUCGGCUGUGGAGAUUCUGUCUGGAGGUAUUCUUAGAUUACAAGUUUCAGAGGCUGAGGUCAAUAAUAUUUCCAUACGGUUUCUUGACAGGAAGACAGGUGAGAUUACUGUGGGAAAGACUAAGCCAGAAACAAUACUUAGGCAAAUAACAACAAAGAAGGGACAGGUCUACAGCAUGCUUGAGGGUAAAAGAGAUGUAGAAACUGUAUUAACUAUGGGAAUCAUGGAAGAUGUUAGCAUUAUUCCCCAACCAGCUGAUACAGGGAAGGUUGAUUUGGUGAUGAAUGUGGUGGAACGUCCAAGUGGAGGAUUUUCUGCUGGUGGUGGGAUAUCAAGUGGGAUUACAAAUGGUCCACUAAGAGGGCUUAUUGGAAGCUUUGCUUAUUCUCAUCGGAAUGUUUUUGGUAAAAACCAGAAGCUCAAUAUUUCUUUAGAGAGGGGCCAGGUUGACUCGGUCUAUCGAAUAAACUACACAGACCCUUGGAUUCAAGGAGAUGAUAAACGAACAUCUAGAACAAUAAUGAUUCAGAAUUCAAGAACUCCCGGAACCAUUGUUCAUGGUAAUGCGGAUGGUAACGGUAGCCUGACCAUUGGCCGCAUCACAGGUGGUAUAGAGUUUAGUCGCCCAAUCAGGCCAAAGUGGAGUGGAACAGUGGGACUUGUUUUUCAGCAUGCUGGAGUCCGUGAUGAGAAAGGUAUUCCUAUCAUUAAGGAUUGCUUCAGCAGUCCUCUUACUGCAAGUGGCAAUACUCAUGAUGAGACCUUGCUUGCUAAACUUGAGACUGUUUACACUGGUUCUGGCGACCAUGGCUCUUCUAUGUUUGUCCUUAACAUGGAAAAGGGACUUCCUCUUUUGCCUGAAUGGCUGUCCUUCACUAGGGUGAAUGCACGUGCUAGGAAAGGUGUUGAGAUUGGUCCUGCACGCCUUCAUUUAAGUAUCUCUGGUGGUCAUGUGGUGGGAAAUUUUCCUCCCUAUGAAGCUUUUGCCAUUGGUGGAACAAACAGUGUGAGGGGCUAUGAAGAAGGAAGCGUGGGCUCUGGUCGAUCAUAUGUUGUUGGCUCUGGAGAAAUUUCUUUCCCCAUGUACGGGCCAGUGGAAGGUGUUAUAUUUUCUGACUAUGGAACUGACCUUGGUUCAGGCCCAACUGUACCCGGUGACCCUGCUGGAGCAAGGAAGAAACCUGGCAGCGGAUACGGCUAUGGGUUUGGCAUCCGUGUGGAAUCGCCUUUGGGUCCUUUGCGCCUUGAAUAUGCCUUUAACGAUAAGAAAGACAGAAGGUUUCACUUUGGAGUUGGGCACAGAAAUUAAAUAUCGGGAGACAAUUCUUACCAGCUGCUUCUUGGUCGUUGUAUAUAAUCCCUCCCUCCAUCCUUUUGUAGGGAUGUGUAUACCAGUUAGAAGGGAAUUGCUCUCUCUCUCCUGUGGAUUUUUCACAUGAUAGGGACAGAAGGACACUAAGGAAACUACGACCCACUGAUUUUAAUACAGCUCCUAUGAGUAUGUUCCAUGUUUUUUGCAUUGUCUAUAUCUUCACUCUUCUGUCAUUCGAAAAUCUUAAUAUUAUAUAUACUUGUAUUGUGGUAAAA
RNA transcript from Vigna umbellata (rice bean), 2463 nucleotides. It is a transcript of the gene named outer envelope protein of 80 kDa, with no coding region annotated. The record is from RefSeq and is a predicted model, not a curated record. NCBI's taxonomy places the organism in Eukaryota, Viridiplantae, Streptophyta, Magnoliopsida, Fabales, Fabaceae.